UGAGGAAUAUUGGUCAAUGGGCGAGAGCCUGAACCAGCCAAGUCGCGUGAGGGAAGACGGUCCAAUGGAUUGUAAACCUCUUUUGCCGGGGAGCAAAGAGCGGCACGUGUGCCGCGCCGAGAGUACCCGGAGAAAAAGCAUCGGCUAACUCCGUGCC
This 157-nucleotide ribosomal RNA is filed under the name uncultured bacterium. RNAcentral describes it as "partial 16S ribosomal RNA". It matches the Rfam family "Bacterial small subunit ribosomal RNA", at positions 355 to 509 of the family's 1533-position model. The record is from RNAcentral.